UAUCUCUGUAGAGUCUGCAUAUCAAUAAGCGGAGGAAAAGAAACUAACUAGGAUUCCCUCAGUAACGGCGAGUGAAGCGGGAAGAGCUCAAAUUUGAAAUCUUCAAGGUUUUACCUUGACGAAUUGUAGUUUAAAGAAGUGUUUUCUGUUGAAGUUUCGGUAAAAGUUCUUUGGAAUAGGACAUCAUAGAGGGUGAGAAUCCCGUAUUUGACCGUUAUUUUCAGCUGUGUGAUACACUUUCAAAGAGUCGGAUUGUUUGGGAAUGCAGUCCAAAAUGGGUGGUAAAUUUCAUCUAAAGCUAAAUAUUGGCGAGAGACCGAUAGCGAACAAGUACCGUGAGGGAAAGAUGAAAAGAACUUUGAAAAGAGAGUUAAACAGUACGUGAAAUUGUCAAAAGGGAAGCGUUUGACACCAGUGUUGUUUUCUCGAAAAUCAAUUAAAAAUGGCUUGAUUUUGUGUUGUAUUGACCUUAAAAGCUUUCUUCACUUUUUUCAUGUCUUUUUUAAUGCACUUUUCGUUUAACAAGUCAACAUCAGUUUCUUUUGUCGUAAAAAGGUCAUUGGAAGGUGGCUUUCUUUUCGGAGAAAGUGUUUAUAGCCUUUGACUCCUGCAAUCGGAGAGACUGAGGUCUGCAGCGUAGAUCCUUCUUGGAUUAGAUUCAUUUGUGCUAAGUUAUAGCUUUUCAUAGACAACUUGUUGACUAUGUUUAGUCUUGUAGCUUACUCGCUUAUGUAAUUUUACCUACGCUUAGGAUGUUGAUCUCUCACAGUCGAGC
Molecule: ribosomal RNA, 775 nt
Filed under: uncultured Neocallimastigales
Lineage: Eukaryota; Fungi; Neocallimastigomycota; Neocallimastigomycetes; Neocallimastigales
Description: partial large subunit ribosomal RNA
Rfam family: Eukaryotic large subunit ribosomal RNA
Source: RNAcentral